Molecule: long non-coding RNA, 702 nt
Organism: Bactrocera dorsalis (oriental fruit fly)
Lineage: Eukaryota; Metazoa; Arthropoda; Insecta; Diptera; Tephritidae
Exons: 2
Source: RefSeq, a predicted model, not a curated record
CUGUGUAACUAUUUGAACUAUUUUAUAAAUUGCAAGCGUACACUAUUUGAAGUACUACAAAAUAGCAAUUAAUUUAAUAUAUUCGUUCACAUAGGAAAUAGAUAAUUGAUUUAAUUAGCAUGUCAAUUGCAAUAGCUAAAAUUUUAAUAGCAUGUAAUAAAAAUUAUAUUGUGUCAGCACAAUUAUGUGUUGAAAUCGCUUAUUUUCGCAAAUUAUUUAAAGAACUUUUUUAACAAUUUAUUUGGUGCGCAUAUAAAUUAGGGCGGAAAGUUUACAUUUUCGUGCAAAUAAAUUAUUUUUAUGAAAGGCUAACUGUUUACAAACAAGCAUGAAAUGAGUAGUUAUAAAAUAGCAAGCUACAUUAGCUUUUCGCCAAAACGAUUAAUAGGGAGAUUUAUGCUUUAUCAUGGAUCCGAAUCUUAUGAAGCGCAGUUUUAAGCAGGACGACAACGCUUGCGGUGGUUUGCGCAGCAAGAAAAUGAAAACUCAGUUCUAUGGAGUUCUGCUGUUUUUGCUUGCUGUGGCUUUGUUCAUUGUUUGUUGCAGUUAUUUUUGUCCCAAGUUAGGUGAUAAGCUUAUUGGUGUAAUAUUAAUGCUGUUUUGAAAACUGGUACUCGUGAAUUGUAUUUUCAAAUUUAUAAGAAAGAAAAUGUUAUCUUUCCGCUUAUAAAAAAGCUUGUAAAAUAAAGUUAUGCAAUGAAA